Long non-coding RNA from Mus musculus (house mouse), 3559 nucleotides. RefSeq annotates it as predicted gene, 30189. The record is from RefSeq and is marked validated. NCBI's taxonomy places the organism in Eukaryota, Metazoa, Chordata, Mammalia, Rodentia, Muridae. The transcript is spliced from 3 exons.
AGCUUCCCAGAUAGCGCACGCGGGGACGGCGGCACACCCCUCCCACCCUGCGGCGCGUGCUCGUGGAUGUGGGUGGCGGCGAGCUAAUUAAUCGCAAUGCCCCAUAUGGGGGUUCGGAUCUCCUCACAAGUAGUAUUAUGUAUACCCGACUACCACGGAUAGAAGAAGCAGGCAGCAUUAUGCAGGCGAGGCAACAGCCGAGAAGAAGAGCCAUGGCGGUGGUGCACACGGAGUCCUUCUAGAGUGGAUGGGAAGACUCCAGCUGUGCUUGCGUUCCUAAUUCUCGGCAAGGGAUAGCCUGAAGACAGGGACUACCUUUUACUUUUUCACACAGUCAACAAAAACUUCUUGAUUGAAUUUGAUUCAUCUGUCAUUUGUGAAAUUAAAGACUUAGAAGAGAGAGGACCUGGCCAAAAAUUUCGGUUCCGCUCCAGUUGUUCAAAAGCCUCUUCCUUCCGGCUUCCAGUGUGCUGAGGCACAGAUACAUUGUAUUUAAAAGACAGCAAGAGAUAAAGAAGAGAAAGAUCCACUAGGAAGAUGUGAGCAGCAUAAUCAUGAACCACAGGCCUCAUGAGCAACGUGCAGAAGGAAGAGAGGGCAGCUCCAUUUACCCAGGGCACACCAGCUUCAACGGGAUACCAGCCUAGCAGAGAGUACUACUGGGUGAAAGGCUAUCAAAGAGUUCUCCCAACUAACAGCUACUUUCCCUAAAGUAAAAGUUGGUGCAACUGGUGAUGUGAUCCGACAUGAAGAAGAGUAGGUAUUGAAACCCUCCGCUAAAAUACAAUGUCUUCAACUAAGGUAAGUUUGUUACAUUGGGUAUGGCAGUUCAUGACUAUAAUCUCAGAACUCGUGAACUUAAGGCAAGAGGAGUUGUUUGAGUUUGAGGCUAGCCUGGGCUAUAGAGUAAUACCAUAUCUCAAUAAAACACACAAAAAAUAGCCUCUGCCAAAUGUUUAUAUUUUAAUUAUCUUCAGAUUCUGAACAAUCUCCCCACUCCCCAACCCCUUGCAUUCAGUUUUUCAAAAUUAGUUCUAUUGUAAGAGCUAGGCUAGCUAAAAACACAAGCUGGCAGCAAAUAUUUUGUAGCAGAAUGUAACUUUGUGAGUAUACAUUUAUAUCUUUGGUUUUCACUGACCAAAAAGCAUUUUCAAAUAGUGAAUGAUUUGAUAAGUCCUACUUUGGGACAACUGAGAUUCUGAUGGGAGCCAGGGGUCCUUCAGUUCCACAGCGCUCUCUUUGUCUGCUGUUAGGAAACCCCAAAUUAAGUUAUCAAUGUGACAUACCUAAUCACAUGUUUAAUUCAUCUAGAGGUGUAGGUACCUUUUCAUCUUUUUGUGUUUGCUCACACACGUUUAAAUUGGAAAAAUGUAAAAUUAUUAUUUAACUCCACCUGUUUCCCCCAGGGCAUAGAAUGUACAGCCCCUCCAGUGAGGAAGGCUCUUUGGAAGGGAGAUGUGAAGAAGUCCCUGUCUGACCUUGUGUGGACUCAUGCUCAGUGCUAGCUGGGAAGCCAGUGGUAGUGCCCUCAACACCAGCCAGGCCCAGAUGGCACUGUGGCCUUCUGAGGUCUCUGCCUCGCUCUUGAAGUGUCCAACUAGAGAAAAUUCUGUAGCCCCAAAGUACCAGACAUGUGUAAGAAGCCUGGAGAUUGGAUAAAUGGACAUGUCUUAUGAGCUACAGGCCUUAGCUGUACCUACAGCCACAUCCCAGGGCCUCUGCAUGCCACUCAUUACUGGGCAAGUGGCCUCUCUCCCUUUCUUGAACAUUCCUGUCUGUCCCUUAUAUUAGUCUCUACUAUAUUCUCAGAUUACAAUUCCUUUUGUGCUAACUACACCCCCAAAUUAAAAGAAUGUCACUGACUUCACAAAGAAUACAAAGCAGACUGGUUUUAUAUAUCUGGGGGUGGGUAUUAAAAAUGUGUGUUGCCUUUAGAGGACAUUUACAUAAAACGAUAAAGUAAUUUAAAAUUGGGUGAGGAUAACAGAUUGGUUUUAAAUAUCGCCCCUAUUAGCCAAACAAAUAAAGGACCCCAAGAAAUUCCCUAAGGGUUAAUAAGCAAAACACUAACCACAUGUAAUAGUUUCUUUUUCCUAAGGAACAGUACGAUACCAGCUAAUGCUGAAAGCACGCUACAGCUGUGACUUGUAGCUUGGACACUAGCUUGAGUGACAGGUGUACCAUCACUUGCACAGACCAGCUGAAAUUACAAGGUCUAACUCAGAUUUUCCCCACAAUUAACUGAUGCCAACAUUACAUCCAUCCAGGAAAGAGCCUCCAGCUACAGGCACAGCAGAGCAUGUGUUCUCAGUCUUCAACAUUUUAACAACAGCAUCAGCCUUGGGCCAGAAGGGAACUGCAGCUCCCUAAUCACAGAACCAGAAAGCCGGGAUGACUCUUCCUGAGGGAAGGCAGAAGAAAGCAGCUAGCUUCUCUAAUGCUCAUCUGACGGAGUUUCUGUGACUGGAGCAAGCUCAGGGUUCGAGGAAGCUUGUCACCAAAAUUGGUGUCAUUAAAGAAGGUGGCAUGUCUAAGAGCAUGCCCGGCCCCUAGCUAGAGCUUUUAAUCCAAGCACCUCGGAAGCUUCUGGAGUACAGCCAUUUAAAGUGACUUGUCACACCGAAAGGACGGCUUUCUUAAAUAAUCUCUAUAGUUUAAUUUCUGUCAAUGAAGUAGGUUAGAGAUAACAAAAAUGUAGAUAGAAAGAUGAUCCCUGAGCAAUCUUAAUACUAUAAUUUACAACUAUGCCUUACAGUUUCAUCUGCUUCCAUUGUUCUUACUCCCCUAACUUUGUAAAACUUUCAUGCCCUCGGGGGCUGGUGAGAUGGCUCAGCGGUUAAGAGCACUGACUGCUCUUCCAAAGGUCCCGAGUUCGAAUCCCAGCAACCACAUGGUGGCUCACAACCAUCCAUAAUGAGAUCUGACGCCCUCUUCUAGUGUGUCUGAAGACAACUACAGUGUACUUACAUAUAAUAAAUAAAUCUUUAAAAAAAAAAAAAACUUUCAUGCCCUCUAGAUUGAUUGGUACAGAUGGCAAAGAGAAAGUGAAGCUUUGGGGGGUGGGUGUGGGGAGGACUUUUAACAAAUAUUUCAUUUUUAAAGUGGAUACAGAAGAGGCUAUGACAAGAAAACACAGAGGCUCGAUUCUUCAAAAAUGAGAAAAAUGAAAAUGUAUACCUGGGUGGAGGGUAGAGAGAAAAGGAGGGAGGAAGGGAAGGGAAAAGAGAGAAGGAAAGAAAGCCAGCUAGCUACAAGCAGCCUAGAAGCCCUGGAGAGAAACAAAAUCACCACAAAAACAAUUUAUCUCAGUGGAGCCUUGCUUGUCCCUUGUCCCACCACCUGCCUGUUUUGUGACAGCCUCAGCACCAAUUGCUCCAUUUCAGUAACAAGACUUUGAUUUCAGAGACUCAUUAGAAUCCUGAGUCCCUGCUUAACAGGACAACUGAAAAAUCUACGUUUUUAACUCUUAACCUUUUCGUUUUUCUAUUCAAAACUUGGUAAACUGCUAAACUUACAUGUUCAGGGGGCUGUGAGUGUUAAAUAAAAUAUUCAAGUCACA